UACAGAGGGGGCAAGCGUUGUUCGGAAUUACUGGGCGUAAAGGGCGCGUAGGCGGCCUGCUAAGUCGAACGUGAAAUCCCUGGGCUCAACCCAGGAACUGCGUCCGAUACUGGCAGGCUUGAAUCCGGGAGAGGGAUGUGGAAUUCCAGGUGUAGCGGUGAAAUGCGUAGAUAUCUGGAGGAACACCGGUGGCGAAGGCGGCAUCCUGGGCCAGUACUGACGCUGAUGCGCGAAAGCGUGGGGAGCGAACAGG
Molecule: ribosomal RNA, 253 nt
Filed under: uncultured bacterium
Lineage: Bacteria
Description: partial 16S ribosomal RNA
Rfam family: Bacterial small subunit ribosomal RNA
Source: RNAcentral